This 62-nucleotide transfer RNA is filed under the name Myrmecophilus kubotai. Its description in RNAcentral is "tRNA-Pro". The record is from RNAcentral. Lineage: Eukaryota; Metazoa; Arthropoda; Insecta; Orthoptera; Myrmecophilidae.
AGGAGAUGGUUUAAUAAAAAUUUUAAUUUUGGAGAUUAAAGAUGGGCUUGGCUCUUUUCUGA